Molecule: unclassified non-coding RNA, 1629 nt
Filed under: Hevea brasiliensis (rubber tree)
Lineage: Eukaryota; Viridiplantae; Streptophyta; Magnoliopsida; Malpighiales; Euphorbiaceae
Source: RNAcentral
GUCAUCUCCAUGGCCCUUUUCCCUUUUUUUUUAAUUGAAUUAAAUUCAAAUCCCCCUCCGCCUCUGUACAAAAGAAUUCAAAAACUUUAGCAUUCAAAUUUUCGAAUCUCCUUCCCUCUCUCUGCGUCCCUUUCCUAAACCCUAGCCAAUACGGCUUCGCAUCGCUCUCCUCUUUCCCAAUCAAUCUCAACAUGACAACUGUCCUCCCGCCGCCGGGCUCUGGCCGUGAGCUCUCCAGCCCACCUUCUGAUGGAAUAUCGAACCUCCGCUUCUCUAAUCACAGCGACCACCUUCUCGUCUCCUCCUGGGACAAGAGUGUGAGAUUGUACGAUGCGAGCGCUAAUGCGUUGCGAGGAGAGUUUAUGCACGGGGGGCCAGUGCUUGAUUGCUGCUUCCAUGAUGACUCCUCUGGGUUCAGCGCUGGCGCUGAUAAUACUGUGCGACGGCUAGUUUUUAGCUAUGGCAAGGAGGAUAUUUUGGGAAGGCAUGAUGCACCUGUUCGUUGUAUUGAGUAUUCUUAUGCAGCAGGACAAGUCAUCACUGGUAGUUGGGACAAAACACUGAAAUGUUGGGAUCCCAGAGGUGCAAGUGGACAGGAGCGCACUCUUGUUGGCACAUAUCCACAACCUGAGCGAGUUUACUCUUUAUCUCUUGUUGGAAAUCGUUUAGUUGUAGCUACUGCAGGAAGACAUGUAAAUAUUUAUGAUUUGCGAAAUAUGUCUCAACCUGAGCAACGAAGGGAAUCUUCACUGAAAUAUCAAACUCGAUGUGUGCGCUGUUAUCCCAAUGGUACAGGAUAUGCUCUUAGUUCAGUUGAAGGGAGGGUUGCAAUGGAGUUUUUUGAUCUUUCAGAGGCUAGUCAAGCAAAAAAAUAUGCAUUCAAAUGUCAUCGAAAAUCAGAGGCUGGAAGGGACAUUGUCUAUCCAGUAAAUGCUAUCGCAUUUCACCCUGUUUAUGGUACAUUUGCAACUGGAGGUUGUGAUGGAUUUGUUAAUGUGUGGGAUGGGAACAAUAAAAAGAGGCUUUAUCAGUACUCGAAGUAUCCAUCGAGCAUUGCAGCGCUCUCAUUUAGUAGGGACGGUCGUCUGUUGGCUGUGGCAUCGAGCUACACAUUUGAAGAGGGAGACAAACUGCAUGAACCAGACGCUAUAUUUGUGCGCAGUGUAAAUGAAAUUGAAGUCAAGCCAAAACCAAAAGUGUUACCUAACCCUCCAGCAUAGCUGAAAUUCCAGAAGACCUGUUCUGUGGUAUUCUCAAAUAUACAUGGUCUUUAGUGAUUUUCUGUGGGCUUCAUUUCUCUUUUAUGAAGCUGUCUAAACAUUAUGUGAAAACUGAUUUUGAAUUAAGCUAGAAUUAUUCUCGUUAUUUUUCAUGUCCUCUUUAGCCCUUUAAUAUUUGAAGCACUCAUUAUAGAUAUAUGGUAAAAGCUUGAAAUAUGUUGGAUUCUGUAUACUGGAUUUCUACAUCUUUCUAUAUAUGCAGAUGUUUGCUAGCAGAGCACUGGCCAGGCUACUCUCUAAUAGUAAAAAUAUUAUUAUUAUUUUUUUAAAUUAACUUUGGGAUUCAUUUUAGGCUAUAAGCCUUGAAACUGCCUAAGCUGUAUUAAAGUCGAUCAAACUAUGUUUUUAG